ACUUCCCUCAAGGUGUUGCAGGUGUGGCUGCUGUGUCACAUGUACAGCAGUAGGUGGCAGAGAGGAGAGAGUUUGUGUCUACACUCAGUGUUCUGACCUAUGAACAUCUAAAUGAUUAGUAGCCUAACAAU
This 131-nucleotide small nucleolar RNA is filed under the name Mus caroli (Ryukyu mouse). RNAcentral describes it as "predicted gene, 22899 (MGP_CAROLIEiJ_G0036323.1)". It matches the Rfam family "Small nucleolar RNA SNORA17". From Rfam's summary of the family: snoRNA ACA 17 belongs to the H/ACA family of snoRNAs and is predicted to guide pseudouridylation of the 28S rRNA at positions U4659 and U4598. It shares the same host gene together with ACA43. The record is from RNAcentral. Lineage: Eukaryota; Metazoa; Chordata; Mammalia; Rodentia; Muridae.